This 465-nucleotide ribosomal RNA is filed under the name uncultured Klebsiella sp. Its description in RNAcentral is "bacterial SSU rRNA". It matches the Rfam family "Bacterial small subunit ribosomal RNA", at positions 338 to 795 of the family's 1533-position model. Lineage: Bacteria; Pseudomonadati; Pseudomonadota; Gammaproteobacteria; Enterobacterales; Enterobacteriaceae. The record is from RNAcentral.
CCUACGGGCGGCAGCAGUGGGGAAUAUUGCACAAUGGGCGCAAGCCUGAUGCAGCCAUGCCGCGUGUGUGAAGAAGGCCUUCGGGUUGUACAGCACUUUCAGCGGGGAGGAAGGCGUUAAGGUUAAUAACCUUGGCGAUUGACGUUACCCGCAGAAGAAGCACCGGCUAACUCCGUGCCAGCAGCCGCGGUAAUACGGAGGGUGCAAGCGUUAAUCGGAAUUACUGGGCGUAAAGCGCACGCAGGCGGUCUGUCAAGUCGGAUGUGAAAUCCCCGGGCCCAACCUGGGAACUGCAUUCGAAACUGGCAGGCUAGAGUCUUGUAGAGGGGGGUAGAAUUCCAGGUGUAGCGGUGAAAUGCGUAGAGAUCUGGAGGAAUACCGGUGGCGAAGGCGGCCCCCUGGACAAAGACUGACGCUCAGGUGCGAAAGCGUGGGGAGCAAACAGGAUUAGAUACCCGGGUAGUC